GUCAGGACAGCAGAGUGGACACAGCACCGGCCUGGGAGUCUGGAGACCUGGGUUCUAUUCCCAGUUCUGCCA
RNAcentral lists this transfer RNA (72 nucleotides) under Chelonia mydas (Green sea turtle). It matches the Rfam family "tRNA". From Rfam's summary of the family: Transfer RNA (tRNA) molecules are approximately 80 nucleotides in length. Their secondary structure includes four short double-helical elements and three loops (D, anti-codon, and T loops). Further hydrogen bonds mediate the characteristic L-shaped molecular structure. tRNAs have two regions of fundamental functional importance: the anti-codon, which is responsible for specific mRNA codon recognition, and the 3' end, to which the tRNAs corresponding amino acid is attached (by aminoacyl-tRNA synthetases). tRNAs cope with the degeneracy of the genetic code in two manners: having more than one tRNA (with a specific anti-codon) for a particular amino acid; and 'wobble' base-pairing, i.e. permitting non-standard base-pairing at the 3rd anti-codon position. Lineage: Eukaryota; Metazoa; Chordata; Testudines; Cheloniidae. The record is from Rfam by way of RNAcentral.